GUGAGGAAUAUUGCGCAAUGGAGGCAACUCUGACGCAGCCAUGCCGCGUGCAGGAAGAAGGCGCUACGCGUUGUAAACUGCUUUUAACCGGGAAGAAACCCCAGGACGUGUCCUGGGUUGACGGUACCGGAGGAAUAAGCACCGGCUCACUUCGUGCCAGCAGCCGCGGUAAUACGAAGGGUGACAGCGUUAUCCGGAUUCAUUGGGUUUAAAGGGUGCGUAGGCGGAGCGUUAAGUCAGUGGUGAAAUCCUGCAGCUUAACUGUAGACUUGCCAUUGAUACUGGCGCUCUUGAGUGCGCUUGAAGUGGGCGGAAUGUGCCGUGUAGCGGUGAAAUGCUUAGAUAUGGCACAGAACACCAAUUGCGAAGGCAGCUCACUAAGGCGAUACUGACGCUGAGGCACGAAAGCGUGGGGAUCGAACAGGAUUAGAAACCCCGGUAGUCC
RNAcentral lists this ribosomal RNA (445 nucleotides) under uncultured bacterium. RNAcentral describes it as "partial 16S ribosomal RNA". It matches the Rfam family "Bacterial small subunit ribosomal RNA", at positions 354 to 796 of the family's 1533-position model. The record is from RNAcentral.